AGACGUCUACAUUAGAUACCCGGGUAGUCCCAGCCGUAAACUAUGCGCGUUAGGUGUAUCGGUGACCACGAGUCACCGAGGUGCCGAAGGGAAACCGUGAAACGUGCCGCCCGGGAAGUACGGUCGCAAGGCUGAAACUUAAAGGAAUUGGCGGGGAGCACCACAACAGGUGGAGCCUGCGGUUUAAUUGGACUCAACGCCGGGAAGCUCACCGGAUAGGACAGCAGAAUGAUUGCCGGGCUGAAGACUCUGCAUGACUAGCUG
This 264-nucleotide ribosomal RNA is filed under the name uncultured archaeon. RNAcentral describes it as "partial 16S ribosomal RNA". It matches the Rfam family "Archaeal small subunit ribosomal RNA", at positions 717 to 982 of the family's 1478-position model. The record is from RNAcentral.